Molecule: microRNA precursor, 102 nt
Filed under: Marmota monax (woodchuck)
Lineage: Eukaryota; Metazoa; Chordata; Mammalia; Rodentia; Sciuridae
Source: RNAcentral
AGUGGGAUUGCUGGGUCACGUGGUCAGUAUGUUUAACUCUGUAAGAAACUGCCAAGUUGUUUGCCAAGGUGGAUCCGACCACUUUGCAACCGUACUAGCAGC